AUUGAACGCUGGCGGAAUGCUUUACACAUGCAAGUCGAACGGCAGCACGGACUUCGGUCUGGUGGCGAGUGGCGAACGGGUGAGUAACGUAUCGGAACGUAUCCAAUAAUGGGGGAUAACUAAUCGAAAGGUUGGCUAAUACCGCAUACGCCCUACGGGGGAAAGCAGGGGAUCUUCGGACCUUGCGUUAAUGGAGCGGCCGAUAUCUGAUUAGCUAGUUGGUGAGGUAAAAGCUCACCAAGGCGACGAUCAGUAGCUGGUCUGAGAGGACGACCAGCCACACUGGAACUGAGACACGGUCCAGACUCCUACGGGAGGCUG
RNAcentral lists this ribosomal RNA (321 nucleotides) under uncultured Pseudomonadota bacterium. RNAcentral describes it as "bacterial SSU rRNA". It matches the Rfam family "Bacterial small subunit ribosomal RNA", at positions 30 to 351 of the family's 1533-position model. Lineage: Bacteria; Pseudomonadati; Pseudomonadota. The record is from RNAcentral.